ACCGGAUAAUAUUUUGAACCGCAUGGUUCAAAAGUGAAAGACGGUCUUGCUGUCACUUAUAGAUGGAUCCGCGCUGCAUUAGCUAGUUGGUAAGGUAACGGCUUACCAAGGCAACGAUGCAUAGCCGACCUGAGAGGGUGAUCGGCCACACUGGAACUGAGACACGGUCCAGACUCCUACGGGAGGCAGCAGUAGGGAAUCUUCCGCAAUGGGCGAAAGCCUGACGGAGCAACGCCGCGUGAGUGAUGAAGGUCUUCGGAUCGUAAAACUCUGUUAUUAGGGAAGAACAUAUGUGUAAGUAACUGUGCACAUCUUGACGGUACCUAAUCAGAAAGCCACGGCUAACUACGUGCCAGCAGCCGCGGUAAUACGUAGGUGGCAAGCGUUAUCCGGAAUUAUUGGGCGUAAAGCGCGCGUAGGCGGUUUUUUAAGUCUGAUGUGAAAGCCCACGGCUCAACCGUGGAGGGUCAUUGGAAACUGGAAAACUUGAGUGCAGAAGAGGAAAGUGGAAUUCCAUGUGUAGCGGUGAAAUGCGCAGAGAUAUGGAGGAACACCAGUGGCGAAGGCGACUUUCUGGUCUGUAACUGACGCUGAUGUGCGAAAGCGUGGGGAUCUAAACAGGAUUAGAUACCUGGUAGUCCACGCCGUAAACGAUGAGUGCUAAGUGUUAGGGGGUUUCCGCCCCUUAGUGCUGCAGCUAACGCAUUAAGCACUCCGCCUGGGGAGUACGACCGCAAGGGUUGAAACUCAAAGGAAUUGACGGGGACCCGCACAAGCGGUGGAGCAUGUGGUUUAAUUCGAAGCAACGCGAAGAACCCUUACCAAAUCCUUGACAUCCCUUGACAACUCUAGAGAUAGAGCCUUCCCCUUCGGGGGACAAAGUGAACAGGUGGUGCCAUGGCUUGUCGUUCAGCUCCGUGUCCGAUGAAGAAUGUUGGGUUUAGGUCCCGCAACCGAGCCGCCACCCUAAGCUUAGUUGC
RNAcentral lists this ribosomal RNA (980 nucleotides) under Staphylococcus aureus. RNAcentral's name for it is "bacterial SSU rRNA". It matches the Rfam family "Bacterial small subunit ribosomal RNA", at positions 168 to 1118 of the family's 1533-position model. The record is from RNAcentral. Lineage: Bacteria; Bacillati; Bacillota; Bacilli; Caryophanales; Staphylococcaceae.